RNAcentral lists this ribosomal RNA (460 nucleotides) under uncultured bacterium. RNAcentral describes it as "partial 16S ribosomal RNA". It matches the Rfam family "Bacterial small subunit ribosomal RNA", at positions 338 to 795 of the family's 1533-position model. The record is from RNAcentral.
CCUACGGGUGGCAGCAGUGAGGAAUAUUGGUCAAUGGGCGCGAGCCUGAACCAGCCAAGUCGCGUGAGGGAGGACGGCCCUACGGGUUGUAAACCUCUUUUGCCGGGGAGCAACGGGCGCCACGUGUGGCGUCCCUGAGAGUACCCGGAGAAAAAGCAUCGGCUAACUCCGUGCCAGCAGCCGCGGUAAUACGGAGGAUGCGAGCGUUAGACGGAUGUAUUGGGUUUACAGGGUGCAUAGGCGGAUCGGUAAGUCAGUGGUCAAAUUGAGGGGCUCAACCCCUUCCCGCCAUUGAAACUGGCGUUCUUGAGUGGAAGAGAAGUAUGCGGAAUGCGUGGUGUAGCGGUGAAAUGCAUAGCUAGCACGCAGAACCCCGAUUGCGAAGGCAGCAUGCCGGCUUCCGACUGACGCUGAAGCACGAAAGCGUGGGGAUCGAACAGGAUUAGAUACCCGAGUAGUC